AUGUUCCACCGCCGUUUCCAUGCGCACCACCGGAAGCCGCCCGUCCUCGGCGUUUUCGAGCGGCGCCGGAAAUUCAUCAUCACCCCCGUAUUGGCCGCUCCCGACCGUAUCCCAGCUGAGCGAUUGUCCAUCUCACGCUGGAUGACCUCCCGCGACUGCGACGCGACCGGCUGCCGCCACGGUCGGGUGCUGGCCAUACACAGGCUGCUGCCGCGUCUUGUCGUGUUCGCCCCCCUCACCGGCGAGGAGCGCAACCUGCCUGUUGUUCCGGACGAGUUCAGGGAGUGCAACUACCACCACGGGGCUGUGCUCUGUGCUGCCAGCGGCAAGGAGGACCACGUGCACGGCUUUUGCCAUGAGAGCCCAUUCCAGGUGGCAUUCCUUUCCAGGUACCCUACACGCAAUCGAUUUAUCACAUCUGUUUACUCAUCAGAAAGUGGCACAUGGGGCGGCCUUAAGGAAAUAGAAGCUCCAUUUAAAGUUGCUCUUGUUGAUGUUCCUGCGACCCUGGUUGGAAAUGUGCUCUACUGGAUGCUUUCAUGGGAUAAUGUUUGUGCUGCCAUGCUUGAGUUUGAUUUGGAUACGCAGAGCCUAGCUGUGAUCAAGGGACCUUCUGAUAUGAAUUAUUCCGGCAGCCAUAGGAUCAUCAAAAUAGAGCAAGGCACAGUUAGCUGGCUCAGGUUUAAAUUCCCGAUCCUAGAAAUAUGGCUGAGGCAAAAGAAUUGGCAUGGUCUUGCCACGUGGUUGCAGCAUAAGACAGUUGAUAUGCAUGACAUUCUUGGGAUCCCUCCUCGGGUUAGUAAGAAGUGGCAUCAGAAAAUCCUCGGCUAUGAGGAAGAUAGCAAUGUGAUCAUUCUCUAUGUUGAUGACAGUGCCUACAUGCUAGAUCUUAACUCAAUGAAAUCUACGAAACUUGAUGAAAGCCGUUUGAUGAAUUCCUGUCACCCUUUCACCAGUUUCUAUCCGCCAGACAUGGCCAUCUAA
Molecule: ribosomal RNA, 984 nt
Filed under: Triticum aestivum (bread wheat)
Lineage: Eukaryota; Viridiplantae; Streptophyta; Magnoliopsida; Poales; Poaceae
Description: partial small subunit ribosomal RNA
Source: RNAcentral